CAGUCGCCGCGGUAAUACGAAGGGGGCUAGCGUUGUUCGGAUUUACUGGGCGUAAAGCGCACGUAGGCGGAUCGAUCAGUCAGGGGUGAAAUCCCAGAGCUCAACUCUGGAACUGCCUUUGAUACUGUCGAUCUGGAGUAUGGAAGAGGUGAGUGGAAUUCCGAGUGUAGAGGUGAAAUUCGUAGAUAUUCGGAGGAACACCAGUGGCGAAGGCGGCUCACUGGUCCAUUACUGACGCUGAGGUGCGAAAGCGUGGGGAGCAAACAGGAUUAGAUACCCCAGUAGUCCCUGUCUCUUAUAC
Molecule: ribosomal RNA, 301 nt
Filed under: uncultured bacterium
Lineage: Bacteria
Description: partial 16S ribosomal RNA
Rfam family: Bacterial small subunit ribosomal RNA
Source: RNAcentral